AGGCCCUCCCCCGAGGUCCUGUUUAGUAUAAAUAUGGGCAAUAAGAGGCAAAAACUGCUCGCUGCAGCCCAAGAAGAUCUAUCUGCUGGUGUUCUGGAAAUCUUGAAAGAUGACAGCUUAGGCACCAGCAAGCAGCUCAAGGCAGCUCGCAACAUUCUCUUCCACUCGUCAUGUCCCGUGUCCGUGUGUCGCGUGGUUGUGGACUGGCUGGUGGCACAAUGCGCGUCCAACCCGCUGGCUGCCGCGACGAUCGCCGAGAUCCUGCCGGCGCCGGGGCUACAGCUGCUGCUGGAGGAGGA
Long non-coding RNA from Pollicipes pollicipes, 299 nucleotides. RefSeq lists it as uncharacterized. The transcript has 3 exons. The record is from RefSeq and is a predicted model, not a curated record. Lineage: Eukaryota; Metazoa; Arthropoda; Thecostraca; Pollicipedomorpha; Pollicipedidae.